UACAGAGGUGGCAAGCGUUGUUCGGAAUUACUGGGCGUAAAGGGCGCGUAGGCGGUCUUGCAAGUCCCGUGUGAAAUCCCUCGGCUCAACUGAGGAAUUGCACGGGAAACUGCUUGGCUUGAGAUCGGGAGAGGGAAGCGGAAUUCCGGGUGUAGCGGUGAAAUGCGUAGAUAUCUGGAGGAAUACCGGUGGCGAAGGCGGCAUCCUGGACCGGCAUUGACGCUGAUGAGCGAAAGCUAGGGGAGCAAACGGG
Molecule: ribosomal RNA, 253 nt
Filed under: uncultured bacterium
Lineage: Bacteria
Description: partial 16S ribosomal RNA
Rfam family: Bacterial small subunit ribosomal RNA
Source: RNAcentral